UGGGGAAUUUUGGACAAUGGGCGCAAGCCUGAUCCAGCAAUGCCGCGUGCAGGAUGAAGGCCUUCGGGUUGUAAACUGCUUUUGUACGGAACGAAAAGCCUCUCUCUAAUACAGGGGGGUGAUGACGGUACCGUAAGAAUAAGCACCGGCUAACUACGUGCCAGCAGCCGCGGUAAUACGUAGGGUGCAAGCGUUAAUCGGAAUUACUGGGCGUAAAGCGUGCGCAGGCGGUUUUGUAAGACAGUGGUGAAAUCCCGGGCUCAACCUGGGAACUGCCAUUGUGACUGCAAGGCUGGAGUGCGGCAGAGGGGGAUGGAAUUCCGCGUGUAGCAGUGAAAUGCGUAGAUAUGCGGAGGAACACCGAUGGCGAAGGCAAUCCCCUGGGCCUGCACUGACGCUCAUGCACGAAAGCGUGGGGACGCAAACAGGAUUAGAUAGCCCUGGUAGUCCACGCCCUAAAACCGAUGUCAACUGGUUGUUGGGGGAUUUUAUUUCUUCAGUAACGAAGCUAACGCGUGAAGUU
RNAcentral lists this ribosomal RNA (523 nucleotides) under uncultured bacterium. RNAcentral's name for it is "partial 16S ribosomal RNA". It matches the Rfam family "Bacterial small subunit ribosomal RNA", at positions 355 to 866 of the family's 1533-position model. The record is from RNAcentral.